This 253-nucleotide ribosomal RNA is filed under the name uncultured bacterium. RNAcentral's name for it is "partial 16S ribosomal RNA". It matches the Rfam family "Bacterial small subunit ribosomal RNA", at positions 524 to 776 of the family's 1533-position model. The record is from RNAcentral.
UACGUAGGGUCCGAGCGUUAAUCGGAAUUACUGGGCGUAAAGCGUGCGCAGGCGGUUUUGUAAGCCAGAUGUGAAAUCCCCGGGCUUAACCUGGGAAUGGCAUUUGGGACUGCAAGGCUUGAGUGCGGCAGAGGGAAGCGGAAUUCCGGGUGUAGCGGUGAAAUGCGUAGAUAUCAUCAGGAAUACCGGAGGCGAAGGCGGCUCACUGGGGGUCUUCUGACGCUGAGGAACGAAAGCCAGGGGAGCGAACGGG